UUAGUUAUUUACACAGCCAGAUAGAUGCAUUUAACCUUGAUGUUUCUGUUUUUUUUUUUAGUGAUGAAUUUUUGAAAUUAUAAGCAACUUAAUUGACAACAAGUUACACAAGCUGAUUGCUAGACGUGCUGUUAUAGUGGAAAUCGGACAGCAUUCAGAUUUGAUGUGAAAUAAGUUUUGGAAAAAUUGAUUUGUGUGGAACUAUCUAAGAUCCUAUUAUGUUUCUGUUUUUUUUUAGUGAUGAUUUUUUGAAAUUAUAAGGAGCUUAAUUGACAACAAGUUACACAAGCUGAUUGCUAGACGUGCUGUUAUAGUGGAAAUCGGACAGCAUUCAGAUUUGAUGUGGAAUAAGUUUUGGAAAAAUUGAUUUGUGGAGAACUAUCUAAGAUCUUAUUAUGUUUCCUGCUCUCCUGUGGGGAAAAUGCUUUUCUUGUUUCUUUUAUAACUGCUGAUUCGGUACAUUUGGUUUGUUUAUUUUCCCAUGGCAUGAAAUUGUUGUGCUCCCUGAAUUUUAUGAACGCUCU
RNAcentral lists this long non-coding RNA (524 nucleotides) under Populus tremula. RNAcentral describes it as "long non-coding RNA (PTRE_LNC002747)". Lineage: Eukaryota; Viridiplantae; Streptophyta; Magnoliopsida; Malpighiales; Salicaceae. The record is from RNAcentral.